CUUUACUGUAACUUGAAAUUGAAACUGGACUUUACUUGCGCAGGAUAGGUGGGAGGCAUUGAGAGUAUUCUUGCGGGAAUAUUGGAGCCAUCGGUGAGAUACCACUCUUGUAAUGUUAGGUUUCUAACUUGGUAUCAUGAUCUGGUCCAAGAACAGUUUCGGGCGGGCAGUUUGACUGGGGCGGUCGCCUCCUAAACGGUAACGGAGGCGUACAAAGGUUUCCUCUGAACGGGUAGAAAUCGUAUCUAGAGUGUAAAGGCAUAAGGAAGCUUGACUGUGGGACCUACAAGUCGAGCAGGGACGAAAGUCGGUCUUAGUGAUCUGACGGUGCUGAGUGGAAAGGCCGUCACUCAACGGAUAAAAGUUA
This 367-nucleotide ribosomal RNA is filed under the name uncultured organism. RNAcentral describes it as "bacterial LSU rRNA". It matches the Rfam family "Bacterial large subunit ribosomal RNA", at positions 2099 to 2465 of the family's 2925-position model. The record is from RNAcentral.